ACAACAUUUGGACCGUCGGUCUACCGAGCAAUAUCACCCGCUCCGUGGAAGAUCUUCCUUUCCCUCGU
Molecule: microRNA precursor, 68 nt
Filed under: Bombyx mori (domestic silkworm)
Lineage: Eukaryota; Metazoa; Arthropoda; Insecta; Lepidoptera; Bombycidae
Description: mir-2774 microRNA precursor family
Rfam family: mir-2774 microRNA precursor family
Source: Rfam by way of RNAcentral